AUAUUGGACAAUGGGCGAAAGCCUGAUCCAGCCAUGCCGCGUGUGUGAAGAAGAUCUUCGGAUUGUAAAGCACUUUAAGUUGGGAGGAAGGGCAGUAAAUUAAUACUUUGCUGUUUUGACGUUACCGACAGAAUAAGCACCGGCUAACUCUGUGCCAGCAGCCGCGGUAAUACGAAGGGGGCAAGCGUUGUUCGGAAUUACUGGGCGUAAAGGGCGCGUAGGCGGUGUACUAAGUUAGGCGUGAAAGCCCUGGGCUCAACCCGGGAAUUGCGCUUGAUACUGGUACGCUAGAAUCCAGGAGAGGUUGGUGGAAUUCCCAGUGUAGAGGUGAAAUUCGUAGAGAUUGGGAAGAACACCGGUGGCGAAGGCGGCCAACUGGACUGGUAUUGACGCUGAGGCGCGAAAGCGUGGGGAGCAAACAGGAUUAGAUACCCUGGUAGUCCACGCUGUAAACGAUGUGUGCUAGCCGUUGGGGCUCUUAGAGCUUCGGUGGCGUCGCUAACGCUCUAAGCACACCGCCUGGGGAGUACGGUCGCAAGAUUAAAACUCAAAGGAAUUGACGGAAUCGAAUUCCCG
This 576-nucleotide ribosomal RNA is filed under the name uncultured bacterium. RNAcentral's name for it is "bacterial SSU rRNA". It matches the Rfam family "Bacterial small subunit ribosomal RNA", at positions 361 to 931 of the family's 1533-position model. The record is from RNAcentral.